Molecule: non-coding RNA, 1435 nt
Organism: Xiphophorus hellerii (green swordtail)
Lineage: Eukaryota; Metazoa; Chordata; Actinopteri; Cyprinodontiformes; Poeciliidae
Source: the annotation of a RefSeq genome assembly
CAAAAAUCAUAAAAUGUAUAAUUUGACACAAAUCCUAAGAUUAUUUGUAGUUGCUGUUGGAAUAGCAACAGCCACAAUGUAAAGAAAAAAUCAACUAGAUUUUCACACAGUUUGCAGAUCUUAAAUGAAUAAAAUGAUCUGAGUGUUGAUGUCAACAGUUUAACUUCAACGAGAGUUUAGGAAAAUGUGUUUGAUAAUGGAGCUUUAGCUUCAAGAUUUUGUUUUGUUGUUUGUGGAGAAGAUCUAAUAUUAAACAUGCUUCAAAUAAAGAAUGUUAUUAUACCGUAAUAAAAAAUUGUUAUAAUGAAGCAUAUCAGAAUUACAAAUAGAGGAAAUGAAGAAAGCUCUUUACUCUAGAGUAUUUUCUUCCACUAUUCACAACUGUCUGAGCAGUGAGGAGGAAACCUGAUGAUAUGUAGAGCUGAGCUCCAUGUGACUGACUGUGUGUGUUUGCAUAUGUGUCCUGCCUCUCUGCUCCAGCUGUUAAGAGGUCAGAGUUGAUCAGUGGCUGUCCAGGCCUUUCAGAGCCACUGAUACACCAGCAGCACAAUGAUGAUGUCACUGACUCUACUGCUGACCAUCCUGGGGCUCCUGGUUCAGGGUUCUUCAGGAGACAUCAUCUUGACUCAGACUCCUGGAGCUCAGUCUGCUGUUCAGGGACAGACCGUCUCCAUCAGGUGUAAAUCUGACCGACUGAUAGGUGAUGACAUCAACUGGUAUUUUCAGAAACCUGGAGAAGCUCCCAAACUUUUGAUUUAUGAUACCACAGAACGUCAGCCUGGAGUUCCUGAGCGUUUUCGUGCAAUAGCAGAACAGACUGACUUCACUUUAACCAUCAGUGGAGUUCAGGCUGAGGAUGCAGGAGUUUACUAUUGUCAGCAACGUAACAGCUUCCCACUCACACAGUGAUACAAGGCCGUACAAAAACCUCAGAGAGAAAGAGGAACUGAUCUGACUCAAAAUGGUACAGGGGAAAAAAAUCAUUAUUUUAAUAAACUAAAGACAAAUUAUUUUCUAUUAAUUAAUAUUAAGAGCAAUACAGUUCCUGUUUGAAAGCUUUAUUGAUUUCAAAUUUUAAUUCAAAUUUUGUACUGAACAGUUUCAACAGAACAGGAACUGAAUUUAGUCACCAGAAAUUCACUCUAGAACUCUUUUCAGCAAAUGUGAUACAAAGAUCUGCAUCAGGACACUCUGAUAAUACAGAGCAACGAUCUCAGAUUAUUUAAAAAAAAAAAUAUAUAUAUAUAAAUGAAACAUGUCUUUUCAUAAGUAUUCAACAAGGAUUUGACGCAUUUUCCAUUAUCUAAAUGAAAUCUUAUUGAUUUAAACAUUUCCACUUGGAACAGCAGACUGAGAGAUGAAACAAUCAGUAAAGAGUUAAACCAGUUUGCUUAGAUCAUCUUGAUUGAUACCUCUAGUUAUUUGAAAGAAAAAA